RNAcentral lists this ribosomal RNA (440 nucleotides) under uncultured bacterium. RNAcentral's name for it is "partial 16S ribosomal RNA". It matches the Rfam family "Bacterial small subunit ribosomal RNA", at positions 338 to 795 of the family's 1533-position model. The record is from RNAcentral.
CCUACGGGUGGCAGCAGUGGGGAAUAUUGCACAAUGGGGGAAACCCUGAUGCAGCGACGCCGCGUGAGUGAAGAAGUAAUUCGUUAUGUAAAGCUCUAUCAGCAGGGAAGAAAAUGACGGUACCUGAGUAAGAAGCCCCGGCUAACUACGUGCCAGCAGCCGCGGUAAUACGGGGGGUGCAAGCGUUGUCCGGAAUCAUUGGGCGUAAAGCGUUCGUAGGCGGCAAGGUAAGUCUGAUGUUAAAGCCCGGGGCUCAACUCCGGUUCGGCAUUGGAUACUAUCUAGCUAGAAUGUGGUAGAGGUAAAGGGAAUUCCUGGUGUAGCGGUGAAAUGCGUAGAUAUCAGGAGGAACAUCGGUGGCGAAAGCGCUUUACUGGACCAUUAUUGACGCUGAGGAACGAAAGCCAGGGGAGCAAAUGGGAUUAGAUACCCCGGUAGUC